UCAGGAUGAACGCUGGCGGCGUGCUUAACACAUGCAAAGUCGAACGAAGCGCUACCGACGGAACUUUUCGGAGGGAAGAUGGUAAUGACUGAGUGGCGGACGGGUGAGUAACGCGUGGGUAACCUGCCUCACAGAGGGGGACAACAGCCGGAAACGGCUGCUAAUACCGCAUAACAAGGGAUCUCCGCAUGAAGGUUCCUUCAAAGAUUUAUCGCUGUGAGAUGGACCCGCGUCUGAUUAGCUAGUUGGCAGGGUAACGGCCUACCAAGGCGACGAUCAGUAGCCGGCUUGAGAGAGUGAACGGCCACAUUGGGACUGAGACACGGCCCAGACUCCUACGGGAGGCAGCAGUGGGGAAUAUUGCACAAUGGGGGAAACCCUGAUGCAGCGACGCCGCGUGAGUGAAGAAGUAUUUCGGUAUGUAAAGCUCUAUCAGCAGGGAAGAUAAUGACGGUACCUGACUAAGGAGCCCCGGCUAACUACGUG
This 486-nucleotide ribosomal RNA is filed under the name uncultured Lachnospiraceae bacterium. RNAcentral describes it as "bacterial SSU rRNA". It matches the Rfam family "Bacterial small subunit ribosomal RNA", at positions 24 to 507 of the family's 1533-position model. The record is from RNAcentral. Lineage: Bacteria; Bacillati; Bacillota; Clostridia; Lachnospirales; Lachnospiraceae.